RNAcentral lists this ribosomal RNA (589 nucleotides) under uncultured Actinomycetes bacterium. Its description in RNAcentral is "bacterial SSU rRNA". It matches the Rfam family "Bacterial small subunit ribosomal RNA", at positions 316 to 916 of the family's 1533-position model. The record is from RNAcentral. Lineage: Bacteria; Bacillati; Actinomycetota; Actinomycetes.
GUACUGAGACACGGACCAGACUCCUACGGGAGGCAGCAGUGGGGAAUAUUGGGCAAUGGAGGAAACUCUGACCCAGCGACGCCGCGUGAGGGAUGAAGGCCUUCGGGUUGUAAACCUCUUUCAGUAGGGAAGAAGCGAAAGUGACGGUACCUACAGAAGAAGCACCGGCUAACUAUGUGCCAGCAGCCGCGGUAAUACAUAGGGUGCAAGCGUUGUCCGGAAUUAUUGGGCGUAAAGAGCUCGUAGGUGGUUCGAUACGUCGGAUGUGAAAAUCAGGGGCUCAACCCCUGACCUGCAUCCGAUACGGUCGAGCUAGAGUUUGGUAGGGGAGACUGGAAUUCCUGGUGUAGCGGUGGAAUGCGCAGAUAUCAGGAGGAACACCGAUGGCGAAGGCAGGUCUCUGGGCCAAUACUGACACUGAGGAGCGAAAGCGUGGGGAGCGAACAGGAUUAGAUACCCUGGUAGUCCACGCCGUAAACGGUGGGCGCUAGUUGUGCGAACCUUCCACGGUUUGUGCGACGCAGCUAACGCAUUAAGCGCCCCGCCUGGGGAGUACGAUCGCAAGAUUAAAACUCAAAGGAAUUGACGG